Zonotrichia albicollis (white-throated sparrow) is the source of this 3141-nucleotide non-coding RNA. The record is from RefSeq and is a predicted model, not a curated record. NCBI's taxonomy places the organism in Eukaryota, Metazoa, Chordata, Aves, Passeriformes, Passerellidae.
AGGAAACCUUUCUUGACUCCACGUUCAGGUGUUGGAGGAUGUGGAGCUGUUGGUGCCUGAGAUCUGAGCACAGCCCAAAUGAGGCAACACAAAGCCCCAGGACAUUGUUUUCCAGACCAAGAACUGAUGCUUUUGGCUGCUGCAGAAGCUCCCCCAUCUCGUCUGAAGCUGCUGAAAAGAUAAUGCCACACCUCCUGCAGUUCAGCAUCCCAAGGAGUGCAGGAUUUGGGAGGAUCAGGCAGCAAGGAGCUGGACUCCUCAAAACUUUCUCUUCCCUGAUGGUCAUUUCUGGCUGUCCCAACUAUCCCAGGAGCUGUUUUGAGUUUAAAUUGUCACAAGCUGAGUGAGUGAACAUCCUGAAGUUGCAUCCUUUCACAGGCUCCCGUGUGAGGCUUUUGAUUGUUCCUUUUCCAGCCUGUGCCAGUGCCUUGAUGUUCUCCCCCCACGAGGGAAUUAAUGGCUGGGAAGGAAUGGAGAGCACAGCACGAAGAGCAGGCAUGGUCCAGGCCUCACAGGACUAAUUAUGCUCUUAAAGGGACUGAGUUGCUAAUUUGGGAUGGUCACAGGAGCUGCUCUGGAAAUGCCUGCAAGAGGUAGGAUUAUCCCAUUAUCCCUUAUUGCCUCUUCUCCUCCUGCACCUUCCCAAUGCCAGCUUGUUUUUUAUCAACCCACUGGAGAACCAGACACUUCUAUUAAUGCAAAUAACCCUGAGCUGCAUUACCAUGAUAGGAGGAAUAAAGAGAGAUCAGUUUAAAGGAAGAUUAAUCUGGACACUGAGGGAGGCAGAGCAAGGCAGGAGUGUCCACCUACAACCAUCUGACAGGAAAACCUGAUUUAAACCUGAUUUACACCAGAAAAAUCCCUCCAGUCUUGUGUACACAUUUAGGAUUUGUUGGGACCAUUAUUAACCCUUAUUGCAGCCUCUGGGUCAGCUCCCAGUUAUGCAGGUAGAACCCACACUUUAACAGCUUAAAAUACAUACUUGUGCUGUGCCUGUGUUCCCAAGGAAAAGGUUUCAGUGCUGGAAAAUCUCAGGUUUUGUGGGAAGCUGCAGUGUGUAAGGAACAGGCAACUGCAGCAGCAAACAGGACCUGCAAUUUAAUGCUAAAUAGUGAUACACUGAAUAAAUUAUUAUAAAAAACUAACUCUUCUUCAGUGUAAUUACAGUGGGUUUUUUUCCACUUUAGGGAAGAGGAAACAGCCUGAUUGGAUAGAUGGCAAAUGAAGCCAGGGAAAUGGAGGUGGAUUUCUGCCCAUCCUGAUGCAAAGCCAAGCAGAGGAGGAACUCAGCAGCUUGAGCACAACCAUUUUUAGAUGUGUUAAACUCCCAAUGUGUGCAAAUGUGUAACAGGAACAAGCAAUAACACAUUGAGAUAGUCUAUUAUCCCUCAAUGUAAUAAAUAUUUUAUUAGAGCCAUAGAAAAGAAUGCAUACAGAUAACCAUAGGAUACACACACAACUGGAAGUUCAAGGAUAAAUUUCAACCUUUUCAAUAUGAAACAAGGUACUGGGUACGUAUCUCAUGGAGAUAUAGAACUAGAAAUCAAGUAAUAAUACAAUGUAAGUGCAUGAAAAAUGGGCAGUACAGGAACCUGGACUAGAAUUUUGUGAAACAAGAGAAAGAGUCACCCUUUGUUGCAUGAAAUAGAACUAUUUACUCACUAGGAACACCUGGAUUUCCAUGUCCCACCCACCCCCCUGUUUGCAAGUGUCUGAAAACAACACUGAAAAGCAACUAAUUUUAAACUCAUUUAUAGCUCUCUAUGUACAGUAUUUACAGCUCCUGCUUUCCUCAGCAGCACUUGGUCUCAUCUGGAGCUCAUCUGCCAGCUCAAUGCACAUCAAGGUAUUUUUUCCAAAGUGCUACCAUAAUGUUAUUAAUCCUGGUUCCCCCUUUGUAGUUCUGUGUGUUGUAAUAAUAUUGUGAAAUUUAAAAACCCCAGUGUUUAAGAGGAGAUGAUGCUUUAUGUUAUCUGAACAGGGAUGGUGUGACCUCUCUAAAAAGGUUGAUUUGACUGAAGCCACAACUCUAGAAGUCAAAUGGACCAGGCUGAAUGUAUCUUUAAUUUAGUGCCAUGAAAGAAAGCACAGAUUAUUCUUCAAUAGCAAUUCUGAAGUAUUUUGUUGUAUAAUUUUUGAAUAUCCUACUAUUGCCGUGAACUUCCCAGACUCAUGUGACAGCAGUGGGGUGCAGCUGAGAGCCAGAGCAGGUGGAACAGCUCAGAAGUGGUUCAAGAGCAGCAGGAAGGAGAGGUCUGGCUGUGGGUCUGAAUUCAGGGUGUUUGCAGUGCAAUGAGCAGGAGGCUUUGGGGCUGCAGGGCUGGGAGCACCAGGGAAGGAGGGAGGGAGGGAGGGAUGGGUGUCCCUGUCCCCAAGGCCAUGGUGGGUGCCCCAGGGGUGCCAGGUGGGCACCUCAGCCCCUGGACAGGGGCAGCAGGGCAAGCACAGCCCCCUCAGGGUGGGAGAGCUUGGUUGUGAACACAGAACCUGGGUAGGGAAGGCAAGGUGGGGAGGUGAGGACACGAAUUUCAGAAUUCACUGAGAAGCAGCACAAAACCAUCCCCAGGUCACAGCUGGGAGAUCAUUUCUCAGGAGCAGCACGGAGCCUUUGCCCUGCUCCAGGUGGGAUUUCUUCUGGGAUUUCUUUCCAUUUAGAGCAGCUCCCACAAAGGGCAGCAGGGAAAUGAUCCAAACUCCAGGGUGAUGGCACUGCCUUGGGAGCAGCCAUAAUCAACUCCAGCUGAUAACAGCCCCAGCUCUGAUUUCAUCCUUUCCAUGCCAGAUGUUAUUUUAGCAAUGCAGAACAAACCCAGAACAAUUCAGGGCUGCUGCAAAAAUGUUUUUUCUCACGCUCCCUCAUUGCCCUGACCUCACAGUGCCAUCCCUACCCCUCUCUCACACUGUAUCUGAAGUAUGUAACAUGUAAACUCCUUUGGUUCAAGUAUUAAGGCAUUUUAGAUUCCUUUUUAAAGGAUUUGCUAAACUUUACAUGGAAUUUUUACUUCAACUUACAGUGAAAUAUAAAGAAUUUAAAAACACGUCAGGAUAGAAGAAAAAACAUGCAUUAACCACUGCAGUUUUUUUUAAAAAAUGCACUUUAGUAACCAAUUUUUUUUUUUCCCCCAGCAAAUGCAAAUAUAU